GUAUGUAGCUUAGUGGCAAACACUUGCCUAGCAAGCAUGAGGCACUAGGUUCAAUCCUUAGCACCACA
This 68-nucleotide transfer RNA is filed under the name Marmota monax (woodchuck). RNAcentral's name for it is "tRNA.Ala". The record is from RNAcentral. Lineage: Eukaryota; Metazoa; Chordata; Mammalia; Rodentia; Sciuridae.